Long non-coding RNA from Salvia hispanica, 1048 nucleotides. RefSeq lists it as uncharacterized. NCBI's taxonomy places the organism in Eukaryota, Viridiplantae, Streptophyta, Magnoliopsida, Lamiales, Lamiaceae. The record is from RefSeq and is a predicted model, not a curated record.
GUAUCAAAGCGAUGAGUAUGUAUUUAUAGAGUUCCAUUAUUCACAAAUCUAGUCUUAAAGAUCGAACUAAGAUCAAAUUAGGCCCUUAAAUCUAGAUUUUAAUGGAUGAGAUUAAACCAUGUCUCAUGAAUUUCGCUACUUCAUUAUGUAAGCAAUAUACUUCAAAUCAGAGGUAUUUCGGUCAAAUUACAUCUAGGGUAAAAAAAAACUCAACGUUGUUUCUCCUCAUUCACACCGCUCCUCUUCUUUCUCAUCUCUCUCGCUCUCUUCUUCUCCAAAUUGAAGUAUACUUCUACAAAUCGAUGAAUUUUCUUCCACAAAGCGACGAAUCUUCUUCUACAAAGUGAUGCUCAUCUUAUACUCCAAAUCGACGCUCAAACGCUGCUUCUCUGCCAAAAUCGACGACUCCAUAACUUCCUCUUCUACAAUCGACGACAUCUCAAGCUGAUUCAAGUCGAUUGACCACAGAUUCAAAAUGGUUGACACAUGAAAGUCGUCUACCGAUAGUCGUUGAUUAACCACGGAUUCAACAUCUCUAUCCGUCGAUUUCAACAUCUCUAUCCGCAAACUUCAACAUCUCCAUCAGCCGACAUCCACAUCUCCACGUGAUUUGAAAUAGUUGACACCAGAAAUUCAUCAAUGGAAGAUGGACGCCGAUUGCGUUCCGACAGAACGUUAUGCCUCAUCGGGUCGACAAAGCUAAUCUCGUGUGAAGUUCUUUUGCUGGUCGGCUUGAAGGUGAAGAAAACGCUGGGGAAAAAUCCUUUAACUCACAGCUGGGUGAGAAAUCAAAUUGGAGGAACGAAAUGAAGAGUUUCGGAGAUGUAGUUGAGGCACGGUGACAUGCUGAUGAGGACAUUUGUGCAGUCCGUCCCCAUGCCUAACAAAUGGGUGGUGCCUAAAAUCACGGCGCAGCCCAUUGAGAUGUGUUGGUGUGUCAAUUUUGGAUGAUUUCUUGUAUUGGACAAGUUUGUGUUUUUUCCUUUUUUGUGAUGGAGAUUUUGUAUUGGUUAUGGGGUUUAUAUAGUGAGGAUUAUGUGGUUUACAA